This 274-nucleotide unclassified non-coding RNA is filed under the name Herpotrichiellaceae sp. RNAcentral's name for it is "partial contains 5.8S ribosomal RNA, internal transcribed spacer 2, and large subunit ribosomal RNA". The record is from RNAcentral. Lineage: Eukaryota; Fungi; Ascomycota; Eurotiomycetes; Chaetothyriales; Herpotrichiellaceae.
CGCACAUUGCGCCCUUUGGCAUUCCGAAGGGCAUGCCUGUCCGAGCGUCAAUAUCACCUCUCAGCCUGGGCUGACGUUGGACACCGUUGACCGUUCAUCCAUCAACGAGUCUCAAAUAUAGUGACGCUGGUUGGAGACACCGGUACGAGGAGCUGUUUUCAGCGUGUACUUGGAUCUCCCAACCGUCGUAUCCACGCCCGAUCAUCACACCAUGAAUAUUGGGUUGAUAUCUUUGGUUGACCUCGGAUCCGGUAGGAAUACCCGCUGAACUUAA